GACGAACGCUGGCGGCGUGCCUAACACAUGCAAGUCGAACGGAAAGGCCCUGCUUUUGUGGGGUGCUCGAGUGGCGAACGGGUGAGUAACACGUGAGUAACCUGCCCUUGACUUUGGGAUAACUUCAGGAAACUGGGGCUAAUACCGGAUAGGAGCUCCUGCUGCAUGGUGGGGGUUGGAAAGUUUCGGCGGUUGGGGAUGGACUCGCGGCUUAUCAGCUUGUUGGUGGGGUAGUGGCUUACCAAGGCUUUGACGGGUAGCCGGCCUGAGAGGGGGACCGGCCACAUUGGGACUAAGAUACGGCCCAGACUCCUACGGGAGGCAGCAGUGGGGAAUAUUACACAAUGGGCGGAAGCCUGAUGCCGCAACGCCGCGUGCGGGAUGACGGCCUUCGGGUUGUAAACCGCUUUCGCCUGUGACGAAGCGUGAGUGACGGUAAUGGGUAAAGAAGCACCGGCUAACUACGUG
This 468-nucleotide ribosomal RNA is filed under the name uncultured bacterium. RNAcentral's name for it is "partial 16S ribosomal RNA". It matches the Rfam family "Bacterial small subunit ribosomal RNA", at positions 28 to 507 of the family's 1533-position model. The record is from RNAcentral.